RNAcentral lists this ribosomal RNA (497 nucleotides) under uncultured bacterium. Its description in RNAcentral is "partial 16S ribosomal RNA". It matches the Rfam family "Bacterial small subunit ribosomal RNA", at positions 28 to 507 of the family's 1533-position model. The record is from RNAcentral.
GAUGAACGCUGGCGGCGUGCCUAAUACAUGCAAGUCGAGCGGACGGACGAGAAGCGCGCUCUUCUGAUGUUAGCGGCGGACGGGUGAGUAACACGUGGAUAACCUUCCUAUAAGACGGGGAUAACUUCGGGAAACCGCAGAUAAUACCGGAUAAUACUUUGAACCGCGGGGAUCAAAAGUCAAAGAGGCUCUUGCUGUGUCUUAUAGAUGGAUCCGCGCUGCAUUAGCGAGUUGGUAAUGUGACGGCUUACCAAGGCAACGAUGCAUGGCCGACCUGAGAGGGUGAUCGGCCACACUGUAACUGAGACACGGUCCCGCCUCCUACGGGAGGCAGCAGUCGGGAAUCUUCGGCAAUGGGCGGAAGCCUGAUGUAGCCACGCCGCGUGAGUGAGGAACGUCUUCGGAUCGUAAAGCACUGUUAUUUGGGAAGAACAGAUGUCUAUUAAACUGUACAUAUUUUGACGGUACCUAAUGAAUAAGCCACGGCUAACUCCGUG